Cavia porcellus (domestic guinea pig) is the source of this 138-nucleotide small nucleolar RNA. The record is from Rfam. Lineage: Eukaryota; Metazoa; Chordata; Mammalia; Rodentia; Caviidae.
CUGGUCCUGAAAUCAUGGCUGACAGCUUCCUGACGCUGUUGGUUUCAAGCAGGAGUCUAAAGAGACAUCUUUCUAUGGUCUAUUGGCCAUUUCAGAAAGUGGGCAGUGAAAUAGUCAAUUCAUUAGAAAGAAACAGCU